CCGAUUAAACUGCGAAUGGCUCAUUAAAACAGUUAUAGUUUAUUUGAUACAUUAAAUGGAUAACUGUAGAAAAACUAGAGCUAAUACAUGCCAAAGCCUCACGGUUGUAUUUAUUAGAUAUUCCAAUUAGGUGAAUCAUAAUAACUUCGCAAAUCUCGGUUUUGCCGAGAUAAAUCAUCCAAGUUUCUGCCCUAUCAUGCUUUCGAUGGUAGUGUAUUGGACUACCACCGGCCCCCACGGGUAACAGGGAAUUAGGGUUCGAUUCUGGAGAAGGAGCCUGAGAAACGGCUACUACAUCUACGGAAGGCAGCAGGCGCGUAAAUUACCCAAUCCUGACUCAGGGAGGUGGUGACAAGAUAUAACAACGCAAUUUCAUUGUGAUUGUAGUGAGGGUAUUCCAAACCGAACCACUAGUACGAUUAGAGGGCAAGUCUGGUGCCAGCAGCCGCGGUAAUUCCAGCUCUAAUAGCGUAUAUUAAAGUUGCUGCAGUUAAAAGCUCGUAGUUGGAUUUCAGGAUUGUGUACUCUCUCAGAGUAUGCACCC
RNAcentral lists this ribosomal RNA (544 nucleotides) under uncultured rumen protozoa. RNAcentral's name for it is "SSU rRNA". It matches the Rfam family "Eukaryotic small subunit ribosomal RNA", at positions 78 to 673 of the family's 1831-position model. The record is from RNAcentral.